This is a non-coding RNA of Hordeum vulgare subsp. vulgare (domesticated barley), 84 nucleotides long. NCBI's taxonomy places the organism in Eukaryota, Viridiplantae, Streptophyta, Magnoliopsida, Poales, Poaceae. The record is from Rfam.
CCCGUUGACGAAGAUGAGGUUGUCUCUCAUAUACUGCACGGUCUAGAUUCAGAUUACAACUCCUUUGUGUCUGCAAUCUCGACC